GCUGGGCGUCGUGGCGGGCGCCUGUAAUCCCAGCUACUUCGGAGGCUGAGGCAGGAGAAUGGUGUGAACCCAGGAGGCAGAGCUGGCAGUGAGCCAAGACCAUGCCACUGCACUCCAGCCUGGGUGACAGAGUGAGAUUCUGUCUCAA
Molecule: unclassified non-coding RNA, 148 nt
Organism: Pongo abelii (Sumatran orangutan)
Lineage: Eukaryota; Metazoa; Chordata; Mammalia; Primates; Hominidae
Rfam family: Metazoan signal recognition particle RNA
About the family: The signal recognition particle (SRP) is a universally conserved ribonucleoprotein.
Source: Ensembl